AGAGUUUGAUCCUGGCUCAGGACGAACGCUGGCGGCGCGCUUAACACAUGCAAGUCGAACGGAGCUCACCCCUUCGGGGGUGGGUUCAGUGGCGAACGGGUGCGUAACACGUGAGCAACCUGCCCUGGUGUGGGGGAUAACCUCGGGAAACCGGGGCUAAUACCGCAUACGCUCCUCUGGGUCACCUGGCCUGGGGAGGAAAGGUGCUGCAAGGCACUGCAUUAGGAGGGGCUCGCGGCGUAUCAGCUAGUUGGUGGGGUAACGGCUCACCAAGGCAGCGACGCGUAGGGGGUCUGAGAGGAUGGCCCCCCACAUUGGGACUGAGAUACGGCCCAGACUCCUACGGGAGGCAGCAGUGGGGAAUCUUGCGCAAUGGCCGAAAGGCUGACGCAGCGACGCCGCGUGCGGGAGGACGCUCUUCGGGGUGUAAACCGCUGUCAGUGGGGACGAACGGCCGGGGGAGGCAAUGCCCCCGGUUUGACGGUACCCGCAGAGGAAGCACCGGCUAACUCCGUGCCAGCAGCCGCGGUAAUACGGAGGGUGCAAGCGUUGUUCGGAAUUAUUGGGCGUAAAGCGCGCGCAGGCGGUUCUUUAAGUCUACCUGUGAAAGACCGGGGCUCAACCCCGUGUUGGCAGGAGAUACUGGGGAGCUAGAGACAAGGAGAGGCAAGCGGAAUUCCGGGUGUAGCGGUGGAAUGCGUAGAGAUCCGGAAGAACACCGGAGGCGAAGGCGGCUUGCUGGACUUGGUCUGACGCUGAGGCGCGAAAGCGUGGGGAGCGAACAGGAUUAGAUACCCUGGUAGUCCACGCCGUAAACGAUGGGCACUAGGUGCCGGAGGGAUCGACCCUUUCGGUGCCGUAGCUAACGCGUUAAGUGCCCCGCCUGGGGAGUACGGCCGCAAGGCUGAAACUCAAAGGAAUUGACGGGGGCCCGCACAAGCGGUGGAGCAUGUGGUUUAAUUCGAAGCAACGCGAAGAACCUUACCUGGGCUUGACAUGCACGUGAAACCCUGGUGAAAGCCAGGGCCCCCUUUCGGGGCACGUGCACAGGGUGCUGCAUGGCUGUCCUCACCUCCUGGCCUGAGAAUGUGGGGUUAAGUCCCCGCAACGGACGGCAACC
This 1120-nucleotide ribosomal RNA is filed under the name uncultured bacterium. RNAcentral's name for it is "bacterial SSU rRNA". It matches the Rfam family "Bacterial small subunit ribosomal RNA", at positions 8 to 1103 of the family's 1533-position model. The record is from RNAcentral.